AAGCAACAUCCCUUCGAUUUACUGGACUGGAUUCAUCUGAUUCAAGUAAGUAAAAUGCUUUGAAUAUUUUUUUUGUGUUUAUUUCAAUGUGUAGAACAUGAACAUAUGUAGUAAUUGUGGAAAAUAUGCCCUACAUUUUAUUUAGAGCUUGUUUUAUAAUUGUUGCAAUAUUACAACGAUGGGUCAAAGUGGUAGCCAAAACAGCCCUGUUUUUGAGAGGAAUGUCUUGAGAGGAACUUUAGUUGAAAUUUUCACAAUAUAACUUUAAACUACACAUGAUUUACACUUUCUAGCCUUAGCCUUAUAUUGGAUUACAUAUUUUAUUGUAUUAGUAACUAUAUAUUAAGAUAUAUUGCUGUAUCUAAACAUUUCAUUUACUUAUAAUGAUUUCUAACCACCUUCAACACUCAGUAUUUUCUCCUUAUCACAGAAUGCAGGACUUUCUAACAAAAAAAUUAUGUUUGUGCAUGUCCGCCCUUUGUCUUAGUCUCUAUUGAUAAGAAAAUGCUCCUGUACAUUCUUAGUCAAAGCAGAAGUGGGGGAUGCUCCUGGUGCAUUUGAGGCAUUGUUCUGGAACAGGUGUUAAUGUUCAUGGAUGUAGGUGUGGUUGUAAACUGGAGGCUACAUGCAAUCCUGUUAGGUUAAUAAACACAGUGUUUUAGCCUCAUUGAUAAGAAAAUGUUCCUAGCAAUUCAUAGUCAAAGCAGGGAUGUUCCUGGUGCAUUUGUGGCAUGGUUCUGGAACAGGUGUUAAUGUUCAUGGAUAUAAGGUGUGGUUGUAAGCUGGAGACUACAUGCAUUCCCAUUACGAUGAUAAUCACAGUCUCCAAUAGGUCAGUAUUGUGUGACCAGUGAAAUGUGUGAACAGGCUGCUUCAGUGCAAUGUGUAAACACUUCAUAAUGAAAUCAGUCUCCCCACCAACCCAUCUUUCCUGUUGGCCAUCUAGAAUCUAGUAAGCAUGUGUGUUGUUUGUAUAUACAUUUAUUUCAAUUUUGUUUUUUCCAUUUCAGAAUGCCACCAGCAGGGAGAGACCCUCGGUACAGUGUGCAGGAUGUAAUUGCCAUAGUCCAAAACGGAGAGAGUGAUGUGGACAUGGAUUUCAACAACACUGAUGCAAGUGACGAAGAAUCAGAUAGCGAUGCCAGGAACUGCUACAAGGAUGAUCACUGCAAAUAAAUGUGGAUGUGCACACAGACUUCACUCGACGUUUUCCACUGAAGACGAAGAGAGGACGCUGCAGACAUUGCAGUAAAGGCUCAUACCCAAAACAAGUGUGAUGCUGUGAGACUGGGUUGGAUAUCCGCCUCUGUUUUUCAGAGGACAAGAACUGCUUAUAAUGUAAAUAAUGUAAAUUAAUGUCA
Non-coding RNA from Xyrichtys novacula (pearly razorfish), 1361 nucleotides. The record is from the annotation of a GenBank genome assembly. NCBI's taxonomy places the organism in Eukaryota, Metazoa, Chordata, Actinopteri, Labriformes, Labridae.